CCUACGGGAGGCAGCAGUCGAGAAUCAUUCACAAUGGGGGAAACCCUGAUGGUGCGACGCCGCGUGGGGGAAUGAAGGUCUUCGGAUUGUAAACCCCUGUCAUGUGGGAGCAAAUUAAAAAGAUAGUACCACAAGAGGAAGAGACGGCUAACUCUGUGCCAGCAGCCGCGGUAAUACAGAGGUCUCAAGCGUUGUUCGGAAUCACUGGGCGUAAAGCGUGCGUAGGCUGUUUCGUAAGUCGUGUGUGAAAAGCGCGGGCGCAACCCGCGGACGGCACAUGAUACUGCGAGACUAGAGUAAUGGAGGGGGAACCGGAAUUCUCGGUGUAGCAGUGAAAUGCGUAGAUAUCGAGAGGAACACUCGUGGCGAAGGCGGGUUCCUGGACAUUAACUGACGCUGAGGCACGAAGGCCAGGGGAGCGAAAGGGAUUAGAUACCCUUGUAGUC
Molecule: ribosomal RNA, 446 nt
Filed under: uncultured bacterium
Lineage: Bacteria
Description: partial 16S ribosomal RNA
Rfam family: Bacterial small subunit ribosomal RNA
Source: RNAcentral